This is a non-coding RNA of Cyanistes caeruleus (blue tit), 8825 nucleotides long. Lineage: Eukaryota; Metazoa; Chordata; Aves; Passeriformes; Paridae. The record is from RefSeq and is a predicted model, not a curated record.
CAGGAAAGGGCUUGGCUAUGUACAAGUGCAGCCCAUCAAUAAUGAAAACAUUCCCAUGUUAAAAACACUGUUUAAAGCACAAAUACAAAACACAGAUGAACACUUUAUUAUUACUAUGAAUAAAAUUAACUCUACCCCAACCAGAACUUGCACAGACAUUCACAAAUUACACUGCUUGUCCCCUACCAAGUUCAUUUGUAAUCUGUUUUAAGAUGUUGAUCAAGAUACCUGUACGUUUAAAUAAGUUCUUAGUGGAAGACUUGUGUUCAAAUUUUUUGAGGGUUUGAAACCUGAAGUUUUUCCUUGUUAGAACUUUCUAAGGCAGCAAAAAGGCAGCAGCAUUUGUUUAAGGCUAACAGCUUUCGUUAUUCCGCUUAGGCCUCAUUCAGGAACACACAGUCCACAAUGACUAUUCAGCUUGAAACACAGAAAAAAUAUUCUAAACAAGAAUAUAAAUAUUCUCUACAAGAAAAUAGACUUGCAUCUUUGGUUCUAGUGGGUGGAAGUACAAAUGGUAUGGUGGCACCGUUACUGCUUUACUGCUGCUGACAAAGUAUGGACUGUCCAUCUCUUUAAAAUAUAGUUUCUGUAGGCUUGAUUUGAGGGGGGAUUCAGGACAGUGUAUCCUGAACAUCUGGAAGCGAUAGUUUGAAAUUAAUUUUGGGAGGUUUCCAGCAUACCCUUUGUAGCAGUAUCCCCAGAUAUCUGGGGCUUUAAGUUGCCUCUCAAUAAGAAUGAUGUCUUUCUGAGGCACAUAGCUCUUCCCAAGAAACUUAGUGUAACAAAAAGCUGCAUCCUAUCUCAGGCUUCCAAAUUCCAUGCUAAAGGAAUUGAAGUCUUAGCACGGUCCUCCCCUGCAUGCUUGUUUGAUCCAAAUGCACAUUUUUAGAAAGAAAAAAUAUGUUGAGUUUUUACAGAUGUUAUUUUCUCAAAUACCCAGUAUUCCCAUGGAAAGGCCAUUCAAGGAUUAGCUGAGUUGAUCAGGAAGCUUCACCCUGGAAAGAGAAAGGGACAUGUUAUGGGACUAUGGUACUACAGAGUCAAGAUUGGCAAGGAAAGACAGGCUCCAGCUGAAUUAUCAAUCUCCAGAUUGAUAAUUUACUGUCUAGCAAAAGAACAGCAGGCAUCAUAAAAAGCUGGAAGGAGUUGUGCUCAAAACAGAAGAGUUGCUCAUGCAGCAAGUAACUGACCUUUGAAACUCCUUGCCAAAGGAUGUUGUAGAUAAUAAAAAAAUAAAUGAAAUACAAAUUUUUGUGGACUCAAGGGCAAACUGGACCAAGCAUAUGAAAGAGAAAUCCAGUAACGGUGGGGGUUGUCAAUAAUCGUGCAAAAUCAUAUCCAUUCAGGAAUGCCCCUGUACUGAAAAUAAUUAGAGGCUGGUAAUGUAUUAGGGGAGAAUCUUGAGCCUCCUUCAGCAUUUAUAGUCACUUAUGAAGCAGAAUGUGGGGCUGAAUAAAACUUCAGGAUAGUACAACCGUUUCGAUCUUCACUCUUAUUAGAUAUUUUAAUAGUGAUGGGGAGGUAGAUUUUCAGAGGUGAAAAUCUGAUUUUUUUUAAUCUGUAGAUCCUGGAAUCAGUUGAAAUUUGGAAGCAAGCACUGAACAUUAUUGUUCAGAAUGUCAGAACAUCUAUUUCAGUUUUAAAACAUUGGCUGAGUGCCCAUAAUUGCCUUAAGUGAGUGCUCACAUUUAAAAAAUUGAGGAUAUAGUCCAGAUUCAGAUCAAGCUGAGACCCAGGGAGAAAAUUCUCAAGGUCUUUUUUCUCUAUCUAAACACCAUUAGUUUUAUAAACACAUUAUCUGCAAUUCCCCGCAUCUUGAAGGAGGAAGAAGCUAUGUCCUAUUCUAAAAUUGUCCAGUAUCUAAAAUUUGAUUGAAUGGGCAAGGCUUGUCUUAAGCUAAACAAAUAUUUUAAAAUUGGGAAUAAAAGACAUCCUUUAUGGUUUUGGAAAAUAAUACUUGGGAGAAGAAAAAAAUAUGCUCUCUAAACCAAAUAAUUUCUUUGGGUGCAUGAUGGGCGUCCAGAGUAAAUUGUUUCAUUUCAGCAGUCUGUUUAAAAGUUUACAUACAUGUCCAACAUACUUUUGACAUCAUAUUGUAAAAUUUAAUAAAAUAUCUGAAUAAGAAGAAGCCAUAGGCAUGAAAGACAAAUGGUACUUACUGAUGUGGCGAAGACUUGUCAUAUGACUGUCAGUUAAGUGUUCAUGGUCCACAGUUCUUCAAGGAGGUGCCGUGAAGCUCAACUGCUUGAGGAAAACAGAUGUGAAUGUGUCGCUCAAAUUUUAAGAAAUGCAGCUUUUUGGAUGUGUUUAACUAUGUGUUUCAGGUAAUUGAAUUAGUCUUACGGCAUGGAAUUUUAGAGGAAUAGCUAAGUUUACUUAAUAUUCUAAAGAAAUGUAAAACCCGAGUUAGGGAGUUGUAUGUUGGCAGUAGCUCAGCUCAUAUCAAUGGCCUUGUACCAGUGUAAAACAUGUGAGAAUGGAAUCGUGCUCUUGAUACGUACUCUGGGCUCGAACUGAAGAGUGAGAGGAGAGAAACACAUUUAUAUUACUGAGGGGUAAAAUAUUCUGUGAAAAUGUGGGGUAUUACUGUUAGGAGCUGCAGGUGGCUGUCAUCAUUCUGAAGAGACACAUUUUGACAACACUAUACAAAAUAUGAGAGAUUGCAAGAAAUGUAGUUCCCAAAUUGUCAGGCACAAGAAAAGAGUAUUUGGAGGGUGGGUUUUUAUUGUUGUUUUUAGAGAUGAAUAAUUAUGGGUGAGUGAGUGAAAGGAAAUUACAGAGAUGUACUAAUUUAUAUGUCUAUCUACCUCUGAAUCCAAAAAGGCCAAAAAAUAAAGGGAAUUAACCCAAACACAUUGUAGAGCAUCUACACCAAAUACAUUAGACCUACUGCUAAGAGCCAUAGGUUUUUGUCUUUCAUAAAUUCUGGCAAUGUUCUCAGUCCUCUCCUGCCAAUAAUGUCUGACUGUGAUGAAAUAUUUUGCCCCUCUAUUUCUCCCUUUCUUUCUCGCUUUUGCCUUUCCCUCUUCCUUCCUGUAUGCACACUUGAAUCUGUUAUUUCAAUGUUGUUAGUCAGUGAAUCCUAGACCUUUUAUUGAAGUGAUAUAACUAAAAAUUUCUGGUGAAUGAUUUAUUGUUCUAUUCUUGCUGAACAUUGCUGACUGUUAUCACAGUAAAUGUAAGUAGUGUCACUGAAGUCAGCAGAUCUAUGCUGAAUUAAUCAGUAUGGAUUCUGGUCCUGAGAGUCAUAAUUGAUAAAGUCAUUUGUGUGCUUGAAACAAGUCAUGAAUGGAUGUGUCAGUAUAGGUUCCUUAAAACUGGCUUAACUGUACAUUUAAUUAAUUUUGGAGGGUGUCACCUUCACACAGAGGAACUCAGCUUCAAAAUAUAUUUGGUCUUGGUAAAGGUAUUUUUAAUGUGAUUAUUCAUAAACUUUGUUUAUCAGUAUUAGAUUUUUGUCUGCUCUUUAUAUUUUGUGUAUUAAAUACCAGGCUUUUGAAAAUAAGUAGGUUACCUUGCAGAUUGGAAGCCAACAAAUGGAUGUAGUUUCAAACACUACACAGUGCUGUACAUUCAAAAGUGACACAGGGUUAAAAAAAAUGGCCUGUUUUCAGUAAAAUGCUUAGAUAUGAGCAUAUUUCUAUUUUAUACCCAUUUUAAAUGUGUGAGAGAAGGAGACUGAGAAAUAUUUAAUGAUGAAACUACUAAAACAUGAUAUUCAAAUAUACUGACAAGAAGCUGCUCUAAUAUCUUUUCUUCCUGUCUUUUAUAUGCCUCCUCUGGUUUCUUCUCUCUUUGUAUAUUUAAUACAAUACUUUCCUCCAAUUUGCACAGCCUUGCCUAAUCUUUUUUCUUAUAUAGUUCUUGCACUCAUUUUUCUCUCUCAAUCAUGUAUUUCCAUGUCUUUCUUCUCUUCUAUGAACUCAAUAUUUCUUCUCAUGCUUCUCUUAUUCCUGUGCUACUGACUUCCUGUAAGCAUCUGUAUUAUUAGACUAUUUUCCAUAUUCUAAUUUUAAAAUCUAUUAUUGCUCUUUCAAUUUGAUUCCCAAAGUAUUGUUUCAGCUAUUGGAAAUACAGAAAAAAAUUUCAAGGAUAUUGUUUAUUUAAGCAGCAACUUUCAUAAGUUACCAAGAACAUAUGACAAUGUAGAACAAGAUUCAUUCCAUGACUGUUCUUACAAGAUGGAAGUAUUUCUCAGCCUACUUCUCCCCACUAUUCCUCAGAUAACUGUCCCAUUAAUGGGAUAUGCAUUGGAAUCCAAUGGAUUCCAAUUUACCAUUCCAAAAUACCCAAUUUUGGGUGGACUGCUAAAAUGUAGAUGGAUGACAUCUUAAAUGCAGACGUGUAUAUCUGGUCUGUAUAUUCCCCUGGUAUGGUCAACAAAUAGAGACAGGUGAUUCUAAUGUUUUUCAUUGAAUCUUGCUAUGACUGUUAGAAGUAAGUUAUCUGAUUCAAUGCUGAUAGCUUUUCUUUUCCCUAUUCUAAUGUAAAUUUCUGAGGUUGUGUGAGAUAAACCUUAUUUCUGCUAUCUCUUAUAGUGGGUUGGUAAAGUUAAUUCUCCGUUUGACUUCCCAGUUUCUUUGGGUAUCCCCUUCCCUGAAUCUGGGGGGUUUUUUUUGUCUAAUUUGAAUGAAAGUCAGACCUUUUAUACAAUUUCUUUGCUAGAGACUUGCUAUUUGUAACAAGUCUGUUACAAGCACUGAAGCUGUGCCUUUGAGCCCAUCAAGUAAGGUCUCUGAUACAAGAUCCAGUCCUUUCAGUCUGGGGGUGAGGACAUAUCCUCCCAAGCCCUAGUAAGCAAUCAUAAGAAUGUCCACAUAAAUCUCCAAGUCUUUUCCUUCUAGCAGCAUAGUUUUUCUGUCCCUGUUUCCAUCUUCACCUACCACCCUGUAUCUUUUGGUUUCCAGUGGCCCCACACCAGGCUGGACUAGGGCAUCACUGCAGCAGUAGGGUCACACUCCCAUGCCCUCCUGCAAGAUGCUGUCUGCAUAUCUGAGGGCAGGCUUGUUCUGGCUCCUCCUGCCCCCAGGAAGCAGGCAGGGGGCUGCAUGCCAAUUUUACACCUGGCAGACACCCAGGGGAGUGCUGAGGCUCAGGAAGGAUCUCUGUGUUGCUUCAGUGCUUGCAGCCUCCUCCUCCAGCAUGGCAAAUGGUACAUGGCUGAAAAACACCACCCCAAUCCUGCACCUAACUGCUGUCAGCCACAGGCUUGGCACGAUGUGGACAAGUCCAGUCUGUGCUCUGGGAUCCUCUGUGCCUGGAAACAAUUUGCCACUGCAGCCCUGCUUGUAAAUUACCAAAAAUCAAAAGUAUGGAUAACUGACCAUUGAUAACAUGCUUGGGAGGAAUUCUUAUGGUCUAAAGUCCUCACGGCAUUACGGAAUUUAGGAGGUAUGUGGCACACUUAAAGUCAGGAAUUCACAUACCAGUUCAUAUGAAGGGUUCUGAUGCCUACCCUAGUAACUGUUGUUGUAGAAAGACUAGCAGGAGUCAAUGUCUUUUUUACUGCUGGUCUGUUAAAAACAAUGAUAUUCUGGGUUCUUCUUCUCUCUGCUUGUCUUCAUUAAUGCAGUGCUCUUCUGCCUUUGUCUCCUUUCUUGAGUUAUUGUCUUCCAACAUGUCUUAACAAGUUUCUUAAAGCUAUGAACCCUUUGGGCCAGGGAUAUGUCUUGUUAGAACUUAAGUGGUGUAGAAGCAAUUUUUACCAUGCUAGAAUAAAAUUUAAAUAUAGAUAGGAGAUAUAAUAAGACUGCACUCACAUAUGUGGCCAUAGUUGGAAAUGUCCACUUGAGAGUAGAACAAGGGGCACAGUCUGCAAAGGUCAGGCUCACUAACUAUAUAUCCUGUAAUUAGUAAUAAUCUCCCCACUUUAAUUGUAACUGAUAGAACUUCACGCCAUAAAUUCUUUUUUGUUGUUGUUGUUUAAAAGGUUUGGUUUGUGAUACAAUAAUGAGUACUUGUCUAAAUUGCUUAUUUAUUAAUUAACUCUUUAUUAAUCUGAAUAUGCACAUUUUCUUCACUCUGAUCUUUAUUAUGCAAAAUGACAUUAAGCAAUUAACUUUAAUAUAGUAACUGCUACUAAGUACUUAGAAAUAAGGAUGUAGGUGGCAUGUCUUGUGUGUUACCAACUGGCAUUAAUUAUGAAGUUGAACUUUUGCACUAAAGUCCUACUACCUCUGUGGUUUUAAUAUAGAAACCAUGUCUCUUAGGAAAACGUAUUUCUUAAAAUGCUUAUGUUUUCUCCCUGUUGUAUUUUUCUCCCUGUUGUAUUUUUGGGCAGAGGUUGUCAAUUAGGAAACUUUAAAAUUGUAGUUGGUGCAGAGAGAAAUAGAGGCAAGUUUAAUAUAUAAGAAACCUUAACUGUUUCUAUAGGCUCAAAAUUAAAGUAAUUUUAAAGCUCAGUUAUUAAUCACAUGCAUUUUUAACCAAUAAAAUUGCUAAUUCUUCUUCUAUUAGGGGAACCAUCCACCAGAUCAAAAACCCCAUUUAGCCCGGCCUUGAACAAUUCCAGGUAUGGGAAAUCAAUCCACAUCUCUAGUAAACCAGUUCCAGUGCCUCACCACCCUCCGAGUAAAUAAUUUCUUCUUAACAUCUAAUCUAAGCCUACCUUCUUUCAGUUUAGAAACAUUGUCCCUUGUCAUGUCACUAUCUGCCAUAUGAAAAAUCACUUUCCCUCCUUUUUAAGCCCCCUCAAGGUACUGGAAAGCUAUAAUAAAGCCUCUCCAAAGCCUUUUCUUCUCCAUGCUGAACAACUCCAGCUCUCUGCCUUUCCUUAUAGGAAUGGUGUUCCAGUCCCAUCAUCAACUUCAUGUCUCUCCUAUGGAGUCAUUCCAACAGGUCGACGGCUUCCUUUUUCAUUUUACAAAAGGCAUUAUCCCCAUUUUUUAUCAUCACUUACUGUGUUUUAAGUUAAAACACUUGCUCACUUGCUUUUUAUUCCAGCUGGCUGGUAAUAAGGUGAACAUAAAUGUAAAACCUGAGAGUUUGGAGUAAUAAGAUGACUAUGAAACAUACACAAUUUUUAUGUUUCCUGACAAAUCAGAUGGAGAAAUAAGUGAAGAGGGAAAUGGGCAUGAUUGCCUGAAAUGAGAAGGGAAAUGAAUUACUUCAUAAGUAAUUCACCUAAGUAGGUGUGUCAGAAUUAUUUUUUUUUUGCAACAGCAUUUUGCCAUUGACAACAUUGCACAUUCAGCCCAUGGCAAAAUUCUAAUUAUUGUCUUUCACUAUUUGACUUGACAGUUUCUACUUGACUAAGCUGUAGCAGUGGACAAACAAAUUGUUGAUCAUUGGAUUAGUGGAGUUCCUGUAGUAAAGACAUAGAAAGCUAAACAGUACAGGUGUCUUUAGUCAGAAGUAAAAGUAAAGGAAAUUGUGCUACUGAAUUUUAUAGAAACAGUUUAUAAUGCACCGAUGAACACACAAGUAUUUUUAAAGAAAUUAGUAUACUUAUAUACAAUUAAAUUAUCUAGAAAGCACUGGAGUAGCAGUCUUGCCAGCUACUAAAUAUUUACCCAACUCUGAUCACAGCAAUGUUUGACUUCUUAAGUAUUCCCUGCAGCUGCAGAUGUCCUGUCUUACUGCAACGUUCUUCUCUUCAGCAUUUCUGAAUGCACUGCCAAAGAUACCUGUAUAGGGCCUAUGUACAGGAAAAAGAGGACUUUUCAGAAAACUCUGCAGCACCAGGAUUAUAGCUAUUGGCACCUCUUUCCCUUCCCACUCAAAUCAACCAGGCCAUGCUCCAGGACAAUGGCCAGGUUCUUGUUCCAGACUUUUCCACCCUGAAUGUUUCCAAUGUUUAUGUUUCUAUAGCAUGGAGAAAAAAAAAAAGAAAUAUUCUUGACUUUGCCUCAGUUUUAUGUGUCUUCUAUGUAAGAUAACUCUAAGGAAUGGGAAUUGACAAGAAUUGUCUUUGGACUGAACAGUAUCACAGUUAGUCUGCAGUGUUCUGUAUUGACCAGUCAGUUGGUGGAUGUGGAUUGCAUUCUGCCUCAGGAACACAUCCCCAGUAUGCACUUUUACAGAUUUGUCUUGGACCAAUGUCAAAGUGAACUUUUGAGAGACCCAACCCUAUAAUGGGUGAGGAGCCAAGCUACAGAACGCACUGGGAGGUAAAAAACACAAAUGCAGUAAAAGAACUUUAAACUCAGGAGAGGGACUUUUAUUGUUUGCUUAUGUUUUUUUCCUAAAAAAAAUAGGCAGCCCUGUGAAGCUUUAUUUUUAUAUACAAGUCUGAAUGGACAAAUCAUGUCUUGGUUUGCAGCAUUACCUUGAUGAGCAGAUUAGUUAUGACAUCCUUUGGUUGAUUUUCUGUAAGCUUAGGGCCAUACACCCGUUUUACAAAUUAAUUCAAGGGAUUUCUAGUGAGAAACCUGUCUCUUGGUUAUACUGACUUUUAUCCAAUCUUCAUCUUCCCUGCUGACUCAGCAGUUAGUGCUCACUCCAGGACUGAAGCUGGAUGAGUUGGUGGAGUCCUCUGCAUGAUGCCUUGAGCAGCUGCUGUGAAGAACCACAGGGCGCUGAGAAGCUGAACACUAGAUCCCAAUAGCCUUUUGUCAGUUCUUUGGCCAUGAGCUCCAUGAAUCACAGUGAAGGAAUGAGGGAUGGAGAGUGAAAGCAAUUCACUGAAGUUCAAUUUAAUGAGGGAGAAAAUGUCCAGACACUGUGAAUGAAGCAAAAUGAAGCAAACUUGCAUUAUUUUAUCCCCCCACCCUCUUUUCAUUGGAACUGUUUAUUUUUAAACAGUUUUUCCUUUUUUCCAUUUUACUUUUCUCUCAUGUAAUGUAUUUAUGAUACUAAAUUGAAUAAACAUAACUUUUUCAACUAUA